Molecule: ribosomal RNA, 158 nt
Filed under: Ophiostoma macroclavatum
Lineage: Eukaryota; Fungi; Ascomycota; Sordariomycetes; Ophiostomatales; Ophiostomataceae
Description: 5.8S ribosomal RNA
Rfam family: 5.8S ribosomal RNA
About the family: 5.8S ribosomal RNA (5.8S rRNA) is a component of the large subunit of the eukaryotic ribosome. It is transcribed by RNA polymerase I as part of the 45S precursor that also contains 18S and 28S rRNA.
Source: RNAcentral
AAACUUUCAACAACGGAUCUCUGGGCUCUGGCAUCGAUGAAGAACGCAGCGAAAUGCGAUACGUAAUGCGAAUUGCAGAAUUCAGCGAGUCAUCGAAUCUUUGAACGCACAUUGCGCCCGCCAGCAUUCUGGCGGGCAUGCCUGUCCGAGCGUCAUUU